This 649-nucleotide ribosomal RNA is filed under the name uncultured bacterium. RNAcentral's name for it is "bacterial SSU rRNA". It matches the Rfam family "Bacterial small subunit ribosomal RNA", at positions 43 to 740 of the family's 1533-position model. The record is from RNAcentral.
CAGGCCUAACACAUGCAAGUCGAACGCAGUAGCAAUACUGAGUGGCAAACGGGUGAGUAUAAUGUGGGAAUCUGCCUUUUGGUUUGGAAUAACACGGGGAAACCUGUGCUAAUACCAAAUAAGCCCUUACGGGGAAAGUUUUAAUGCCAAAAGAUGAGCCCGCACUUGAUUAGCUAGUUGGUAAGGUAAAAGCUUACCAAGGCAACGAUCAAUAGCUGUUCUUAGAGGAAGACCAGCCACAUUGGGACUGAGACACGGCCCAGACUCCUACGGGAGGCAGCAGUGGGGAAUCUUGCACAAUGGGGGAAACCCUGAUGCAGCGAUGCCGCGUGAGUGAAGAAGGCCUUUGGGUUGUAAAACUCUUUCGUCGGGGAAGAAAUGACUGUACCCGAAUAAGAAGGUCCGGCUAACUUCGUGCCAGCAGCCGCGGUAAUACGAAGGGACCUAGCGUAGUUCGGAAUUACUGGCUUAAAGAGCUCGUAGGUGGUUAAAAAAGUUGAUGGUGAAAUCCCAAGGCUCAACCUUGGAACUGCCAUCGAAACUUUUUAGCUAGAGUGUGAUAGAGGUAAGUGGAAUUUCUAGUGUAGAGGUGAAAUUCGUAGAUAUUAGAAAGAACACCAAAUGCGAAGGCAACUUACUGGGUCACUAC